CCUACGGGGGGCAGCAGUGGGGAAUAUUGGACAAUGGGCGAAAGCCUGAUCCAGCCAUGCCGCGUGAGUGAUGAAGGCCUUAGGGUUGUAAAGCUCUUUUGUCAGGGAAGCGGUACCUGAAGAAUAAGCACCGGCUAACUUCGUGCCAGCAGCCGCGGUAAUACGAAGGGUGCUAGCGUUGUUCGGAAUUACUGGGCGUAAAGCGCGCGUAGGCGGUUAUACAAGUCAGAGGUGAAAUCCCAGGGCUCAACCCUGGAACUGCCUUUGAAACUGUAUAGCUGGAGUGUGUGAGGGGAUAGCGGAAUUGCUAAUGUAGAGGUGAAAUUCGUAGAUAUUAGCAGGAACACCGGUGGCGAAGGCGGCUAUCUGCCACAACUGACGCUGAGGCGCGAAAGCGUGGGGAUCAAACAGGAUUAGAUACCCUAGUAGUC
Molecule: ribosomal RNA, 431 nt
Filed under: uncultured bacterium
Lineage: Bacteria
Description: partial 16S ribosomal RNA
Rfam family: Bacterial small subunit ribosomal RNA
Source: RNAcentral